This 840-nucleotide long non-coding RNA is filed under the name Homo sapiens (human). RNAcentral describes it as "HSALNT0278631". The record is from RNAcentral. Lineage: Eukaryota; Metazoa; Chordata; Mammalia; Primates; Hominidae.
GGACCACCUAGAACUGCCUCCUUCCAAGCGACACUGGGGCUGGCUCCCCAUCUGAGCCGUCUGGAGACCCUGUGGCUGGCAGGCGACGCCGUCCCCCCGCCCACACAGCCUGGGGGACUUAAAACAACAGACAUUUAUUCGAUCGCAGUUCUGGAGGCCAGAGAGGGAUGGGUCAGGGUACCCUGAUGCCCCCGCCGGGGCCAAGGGGGAGCAGGGCUGUGGAGAGCAUGACCCCCUUGUUAAACCACGUCUGCCUUUAUGCCUCGAUACACCACACAGAGAGAUGACGGGAGAUACCACCAAGAUGAGAUGCCGACCCGGGAGAGGCUCUGCAGGUCCCCUGGUGCCCACGUCUACCUGGCUUGUCCCCACAGGUGGGUUUUCUGAGACAAGGGGGCUUUUGGACACAGGUCUGUCCCCAGAGCCAGCCAGCAGCUCCAGAGAAGAGACAGCAGGUGCCCAGGACGAUGCGGCUUAGUUGCCAGGUUGCCACGAAACAUCCAAUAUUUGAAAGUGUUCUAUGGACCUCAAAGGGCAAGAGACACCUUAAAAUGUUUGCUGGAUGGCUGUAGGAGGGUAGAGCCCUGGUGGGCAGAGGCUCUGCUGCUCAUGUUCAUGGAGUCCCACGUCCACCAGGCCCUUUGAAUCUCGAGUUUCUGGCUUCAGAUGCCCCCAGGUUUCCAGAAGUCAAGAUUUCUAACAAAUGGACCCAAACCCCAAGCCAGCACCUGGAAGUGGCAGCAACACGGCUGUGUGGACCCCGGUGCUGGGAACCUUCUGGAGGCAGCUGGACACAGGGGCUGCCAGUGUGGAGAGGGACGCUGCUCAUUUUGACAUUUC